Molecule: long non-coding RNA, 1068 nt
Organism: Lytechinus variegatus (green sea urchin)
Lineage: Eukaryota; Metazoa; Echinodermata; Echinoidea; Temnopleuroida; Toxopneustidae
Exons: 2
Source: RefSeq, a predicted model, not a curated record
GGGGCGGGCCGGCCAUGGGGGGGGGGUAGUUACGCCACUGCUACAGGCAUUUUGGUUGCCAGGAUUUUAUUAUUAUUAUUAUUUGUUAGUGUUUUCAUGACAAAAGCGUUUUGUAACAAGUCCCAUAUGCUCUGGCCCUGUUCAGUGUUUUACGUCAAGCUCACAGCUAGGACGUAUGUUGGUGUGUCGAUCCACAACCUCCAGCUCAAAGCGAUUACGUAAUCUUUUUAUUGUAACAGUUUCUUUGAAGAGAGAUUCUUUUCAGUAUUUUGAGAAAGAGGACAAUAAGGAGCGUUCGCAACGCGAUGCAGAGCGAAUGAAGAAUUGAAGUGAAUGUUUGAAAAAAUAGGUGAAUGAAUGAAUUUAUCAAAACAGCAUUGGCAUUUGCCAAUAUUCUUGUUUGAAACUUAAAUAGAAAGUAGUAUACAAGGAAUAUACAAUUUGUGGAACAUAAGCAAAUAAACAAGAAUAACAGUAAUUAUUACUCCUAAAGUCUACUUUCAGUAAAUAUUUCAUGGCAUGCAUAAUUAUAGAACAGAGGGAUAAGCAAGCAAGGUAGAAAGAAUGAGAGAUAAGAAGAGAAUGUGUGCGAGAGACACCUAAUAUUUCAAGUAUGGCAUACAUAUUAGCUUUCUCAAUUGAAUGAAUUCAUCAAAAUAUCAGACCCGACUGAGAUUGAGCAACAAUUCAAAAUGCAAGCCACUUGCUGGGAUGUCUAUGUCAAUAAUAAUUAUUGAACCGCAACAGCAGUUUCGUUUCGGAGCUGAUGAAAAAAAAUGCAAAUAUGUCGUUUUUUUUCCAGAAUUCAUGCAGGACGAAACUGAUGGUUUGAUUCACCAAUUUUCGACAAAGACUUUUUAGUUUCACGGUGUAAUGAAUUAGGUAAUUUUCCAAUACACUUUCUAUUAUGUUCUCCAAAGCGUUCUGCGUUGCGGGACGAAUACACCCUAUUAACUGCGUAAAUUUCUCCUCCCCAUUGUAUUCCCUCGAAAAUCACGAAUAAAAGUUGUGAUCAGUCGAGACGAGUGCUUUCCAAACUUUCGGGCUGUCACCAUGUCCAGUCCAAAA